RNAcentral lists this long non-coding RNA (3470 nucleotides) under Bos grunniens (domestic yak). Its description in RNAcentral is "lncRNA (ENSBGRG00000026082.1)". Lineage: Eukaryota; Metazoa; Chordata; Mammalia; Artiodactyla; Bovidae. The record is from RNAcentral.
AUGCUCGGGGUCAAGUCCGGACGGGCGAUGACCCUGUGUGUCUGGGGUUGGCUCCUCCCCUCUGCCCCCCAGCUGUCUUCUCCUUCUGUUCUCAGCAGCCCAGUCCUGCUUGAGGUCCCUGAACAAGCCGUACUCUCUCAUCGCCUCCCACCUAGAAGGUUCCUUUCCUCUCAGCCAGCAGUGGGCAGUGCUUGCAGGCUGACUCCCCAUCCCAGGGCUGAGCCAGCUCCAACCUGGGCCUGUCUCCUGGAGUUCUUCCUUGGCUUGCCUCCCCUGCCCGGAACUGACUCUGGGGUUCCAGACCUUUCUGCUCAUCCCCAUGCCUUGAUCACAGCCUUGGCCUAUACUUAAUCAUGGUUGCGGGUUUGCUUCUCGGCUUCCCAAUUAGACUGGGUGCUCCUUGAGGUCAAGGGUCCUAUUUCUGGUCGUUUCCCAGCACGGAGCCCCAUGCUUGAAGGAGCCUGAUAAAUGCUUGUGAAAUGAAGCGCAGUCCUAACCUCCAUCCUUCACUCCAACCACCACACCGUCCUCCCGGCACCCUCUUACCAGCUUCCACUGAGAUCCCUCCCGGCCCCUCUUGGGGUCUCCAGCGGAGUAGUGUCUGCCUAGCCCAAUCCCAUCGAGGGCACUUGUUUUCUUCACCAUCUCUAUUGCUAAAGUGGAAUUAAAAACUAGCUGAAAAGGUUCACUUAAUUGGCAAAUAAAGUGAGCAGACAUCCUAAUCUAGUCUGGGAUCAACCAGGGCCCCUCCGCCCGAGCAUGGUGACCUGAACGCCUGGGAUGCCUGCCAUUUACUGGGGCCCCGUAUAAAGACAAUCACAGUGUUAUCACCACGGUUCACACAGGAGGUGGCCUUGGCUCAGAGACAGCGUCACCCGUCCCAGGCCACACGGCUGCUGCUUUACAGCUCGCCUGCACGCAUCUGUGCCUCCGCCUCCAGAGCUCAGUUGCUCUGCUAUCCUGCUCUGCCUGGGGCUUGUGACCGUCUCCCACAAGACACCUAAGCUCAGAUUCACCCGGACUCGACCUCCCGUGUGCUCUUCGGAUCCCUUGUUUAUGGGAUCAUGUGAAACAGCAGCAGACAGGACCCUAAGCAUUCUUCCCUUCUCACAGCAUGGCCGCUGGGCGCGGCCGCUGAGUGAGGCUCUGUUCCCCUCGGUGGGGACUGCUGCUUGGCUUCUUGCUAGCGACAUGUGAGCAGAAGAAAUGUGUGCAAAUUGCCCAUCGCUUGCUUCAGAGGAGUUUCCUCACUGUUGGCUGGAAAUAGGGGCCACUGGUGAGGAUAUAGGGGCUCCUGGAACCCAGGGACUCAGUGAACACUGCUGACUGGCCGCCCUGGGCUGCUGCAUUCUGACAUCUCUUUAGCCUUCACCCGAACUAACACAGUGGGUAAGGUCGGGGUGAUCCCAGCGUGGUUCAUGGAGCAGCAGCAAGAGGACUUCCUAGAGGGGUUAGAAGGCAGAGUCCCAGGCCACACGGCUGCUGCUUUACACAGCUCGCCUGCACGCAUCUGUGCCUCCGCCUCCAGAGCUCAGUUGCUCUGCUAUCCUGCUCUGCCUGGGGCUUGUGACCGUCUCCCACAAGACACCUAAGCUCAGAUUCACCCGACUCGACCUCCUGUGUGCUCUUCGGAUCCCUUGUUUAUGGGAUCAUGUGAAACAGCAGCAGACAGGACCCUAAGCAUUCUUCCCUUCUCACAGCAUGGCCGCUGGGCGCGGCCGCUGAGUGAGGCUCUGUUCCCCGGUGGGGACUGCUGCUUGGCUUCUUGCUAGCGACAUGUGAGCAGAAGAAAUGUGUGCAAAUUGCCCAUCGCUUGCUUCAGAGGAGUUUCCUCACUGUUGGCUGGAAAUAGGGCCACUGGUGAGGAUAUAGGGGCUCCUGGAACCCAGGGACUCAGUGAACACUGCUGACUGGCCGCCCUGGGCUGCUGCAUUCUGACAUCUCUUUAGCCUUCACCCGAACUAACACAGUGGGUAGGGUCGGGGUGAUCCCAGCGUGGUUCAUGGAGCAGCAGCAAGAGGACUUCCUAGGGGGUUAGAAGGCAGAGUCCCAGGCCCCACCCUGAACUGACGGAAUCAGAACCUCUGAGGCUGGGGCCUGGGAAUCAGUGUUGCACAAAACUCUCACUGUGAUCUUCUGUUGUUGUUCAGUUGCUCAGUCGUGUCCGACCCUCAGUCGUGUCCCAUGAACUGCAGCACGCCAGGCUUCCCAGUCCUUCAUUAUCUCCCGGAGUUUGCUCAAACUCAUGUGCAUUGAACUGGUGAUGCCAUUUAAUUGUCUCAUCCUCUGUCGCCCCUUCAAUCUUUUCCAGCAUCAAGGUCUCUUCCAACGAGUUCACUCUUUGCAUCAGGUAGUCAAAGUACUGGAGCUUCAGCUUCAGCAUCAGUCCUUCCAAUGGAUAUCCAGGGUUUCUUCCUUUGGGAUUGACUGGUUUGAUCUCUCAAGAGUUUUCUCCAACACCACAGUUCAAAAGCAUCAGUUCUUUGACACUCAGCCUUUUCUAUUGUCCAGCUCUCACAUCCAUACAUGAUUAGUAGAAAAGCCAUAGCUUUGGCUAUAUGGACCUUUCAGGCUAAAGUUUAAGAAAUGGUGCUCUGGAUGCUUCUAAGGAAAAACGCAUCACCUUUUCAAGCUGAGGAAGCUGUCAUUCUGGUGACUGGAACUCCAGUUCCGUGGCCUCCUCUCUUACACAGAUUUCACGCAGAUUCAGGCAGCCCAUGUUCCUGGUGUGGAAAAACAGGGUCUGUCUGAGGCAGCCAGUGCCCGUUCUGUGCCCCAGUUUCCUCUGAGAUCCCUUCUAACUGGUCCGUCCUUGAGCCCAAGUGGCCAGUCCAAGAUCUCAGGGUCACUGCAGUGUCAGGGAUUUCAGGCCAGACACGCAGUGUUGGGGAGUAGUCAUCGGAACUUCUCAGGAGUCGGGGCUGGUUCCGAGGAGUGAACAGCAUGCAUGUGAAAUAGGAGGUGGUUCUUAGAAAUGGGGCAGGAGGCCAGAGUGGUCCUCUGUAGUUCGUCAUUUCUCACCACCUCACCAGUUAGCAAGAAAAGAAAAUUUAAAAUGCUUUUUUGGACUUUCGUGGUGAUCCAAUGGUUUAGCUUCAGCACUUCCAAUGCAGGGGUGCAGGUUCGAUCCCUGGUUGGGGACUAAGACUCCACAUGCUGUGUGGUGCAGCCAAAAAUAAAAAUAAAACAGAAUCACACAGCUUCAAAAAAUUAAAAUAAUAAUGAUAAAAUUUCCAAAAUUCUUUUUUGACUUUUUUCCCCAAGAUUUUUGAUGUAGAUCAUUUUUAAAAGUCUUUGUUGAAUUUGUUCAGUUGCUCAGUCGUGUCCGACCCUCAGUCGUGUCCCAUGAACUGCAGCACGCCAGGCUUCCCAGUCCUUCAUUAUCUCCCGGAGUUUGCUCAAACUCAUGUGCAUUGAACUGGUGAUGCCAUUUAAUUGUCUCAUCCUCUGUCGCCCCUUCAAUCUUUUCC